GACGAACGCUGGCGGCGUGCUUAACACAUGCAAGUCGAACGAUGAAGCGGUGCUUGCACCGUGGAUUAGUGGCGAACGGGUGAGUAAUGCGUGAGUGACCUACCUUUGACUCUGGGAUAAGCCUGGGAAACUGGGUCUAAUACCGGAUACGACCAAUCUCUGCAUGGGGUGUUGGUGGAAAGCGUUAUGGAGUGGUUUUAGAUGGGCUCACGGCCUAUCAGCUUGUUGGUGAGGUAAUGGCUUACCAAGGCGACGACGGGUAGCCGGCCUGAGAGGGUGACCGGCCACACUGGGACUGAGACACGGCCCAGACUCCUACGGGAGGCAGCAGUGGGGAAUAUUGCACAAUGGGCGCAAGCCUGAUGCAGCGACGCCGCGUGAGGGAUGACGGCCUUCGGGUUGUAAACCUCUGUUAGCAUCGAAGAAGCGAAAGUGACGGUAGGUGCAGAGAAAGCGCCGGCUAACUACGUG
RNAcentral lists this ribosomal RNA (471 nucleotides) under uncultured bacterium. RNAcentral's name for it is "partial 16S ribosomal RNA". It matches the Rfam family "Bacterial small subunit ribosomal RNA", at positions 28 to 507 of the family's 1533-position model. The record is from RNAcentral.